Macadamia integrifolia is the source of this 1191-nucleotide long non-coding RNA. RefSeq lists it as uncharacterized. NCBI's taxonomy places the organism in Eukaryota, Viridiplantae, Streptophyta, Magnoliopsida, Proteales, Proteaceae. The transcript has 2 exons. The record is from RefSeq and is a predicted model, not a curated record.
AGAACAAACUUACUAGCUUUUUUGGAAAGAAAUCUCUUAUCGGUGGCUGGUAAAGAGGUUCUCAUUAAAUCUGUAGCUACUUCCAUUCCCUCUUAUCCCAUGUCAAUGUUUGCUUUUCCUUUUAGUUCUUGUCAUAAGCUGAAUAGUUUGAUUAAAAAAUUUUGGUGGAAAAAUAGUGAUGGUAAUGGUGUCUUUUGGAUAAAAUGGGAAAGCUUGUGUAUUAGUAAAAAGUAUGGGUUUUAGAGACUUGUCUAGUUUUAACCUUGCUCUCCUUUCUAGGCAAUGCUGGCGUAUUUUACAUAAUGAGGAUGCUCUCUAGGUCAAGGUCUUCAAAGGGAAAUGUUUUCCAUCCUCAAACUUCCUUGAGGCCCAGUGCAAACAUAGCAGCUAUUGGGCUUGGAAAAGUAUUCUUAAGGGAAGAGAGGUUCAUUUAAAAGGAAUUUGUAAAGGUAUAGGGGAUGGCUCUACUACUUUCAUUUAUAGGGAUCCAUGGCUUCCAAAUUUACCAGAUUUGGAACGCUCGUAAUAAGGCUAUUUUCCAGUUUAGUGAUCCUCAUCUCCAUAGCGCAAUGUUUGCUAUUAAUGCUUCAGUAGAUGAAGGGUAUAUUGGCCUCAAUGAUAGGGCUAGUUCCCAUGUUGUUGAUGUGACGAUCCUACAUUCCUACCUCCCCAAACUGCUCCACCUACUGACACCUUUUCUAUAGUCUCUGAUGGGGCUUGGAGGGCAGCCUCUUCUCGUGGUAGCCGAGGUGUGAUUAUACGAGACCCGGCUGGUUCUUUUAUUGUUGCCAAGUGCAAAAUGGGGAAUGGUUUUUCUGCAGCACUAUGGAGGCUGAAGCUAUUAGGGACAGACUUUUAUUGGCUGCUAAGCUGAAUAUUACUUCUAUUGCAUGCUUCUCAGAUUGUCUUGCCGUUUUCCGUACUCUUCUUGGUGUAGAGUCUUCUAUUGAUUGGGCUACAAAGUCAGUAGUAGAUGAUACUCUUAGCUUAGUUUCUAUUUUUUCGUCUGUUAGGUUCUAUCAUGUUUCUCGCUUUACUGUUAGUGAGGCAAAUUUCUUAGCCAAAGGGGCUCUCAAAUUUGAGUUGUCUCGUACUUGGUGGAUAAAGCCACCUACUUUUAUUGUUUCUUCUGUACUUACCAGAAGGGGUUCUGCCCUUUUAGACUUCUUGGUUUAAUAAAAUAGAUAUCCU